AUGGCGGACGGCUGCUUGGAGUGGGCUGACGGGCGCAUCUUCAAAAUGGAAGUGGACUACAACGCCACGGUGGAUCAGCGCCUACCCGAGUGUGAGAAGCUGGACAAGGAAGGAAGACUUCAAGAAGUCAUGGAAACCCUUCUGUCUUUGGAAAAACAGACUCGUACUGCUUCUGAUAUGGUGUCAACAUCCCAAAUCUUAGUUGCAGUAGUGAAGAUGUGCUAUGAGGCUAAAGAAUGGGAUUUACUUAAUGAAAAUAUUAUGCUUUUGUCCAAAAGGCGGACUCAGUUAAUACAAGCUGUUGCCAAAAUGGUUCAAUAGUACUGUAUUUAUGUUGAGGAAAUCACAGACCUUCCUACCAAACUUCAAUUAAUUGAUAUUCUAUGAAUGGUUACUGAAGGCAAGAUUUAUGUUGAAAUUGAGUGUGCUCGACUGACUAAAACCUUAGCAACUAUAAAAGAACAAAAUGGUGAUGUGAAAGAGGCAGCCUCUGUUUACAGGAGCUACAGGUGGAAACCUAUGGGUCAAUGUAAAAGAAAGAGCAAGUGGAAUUUAUUUUGGAGCAAAUGAGGCUCUGCUUAGCUGUAAAGGAUUACAUUCAAACAUAAAUCAUGAGUAAGAAAAUUAACACCAAGUUUUUCCAGGAAGAAGAUACAGAGAAAUUAAAGUUGAAGUACGAUAAUUUAAUGACUCAGCUGGAUCAACAUGAGGGAUCCUAUUUGUUUAUUUGUAAGCACUACAGAGCAAUAUAUAAUACUCCCUGUAUACAGGCAGAAAGUGAAAAAUGGCAGCAGGCUAUGAAGAGUGUUGUACCCUAUGUUACCCUGGCUCCUUUUGACAAUGAACAGUCAGAUUUGGUUCACUGAAUAAGUGGUGACAAGAAGUCAGAAGAAAUUCCCAAAUACAAGGAUCUUCUAAAGCUUUUUACCACAAUGGAGUUGAUGCGUUGGUCCACACUUGUGGAGGACUGUGGAAUGGAAUUAAGAAAAGGUUCCCUUGAGAGUCCUGCAACUGAUGUUUUUGAUUCUACAGAGGAAGGUGAAAAAAGGUGGAAAGACUUGAAUAACAGAGUUGUUGAACAUAAUAUUAGAAUAAUGGCCAAGUAUUAUACUAGGAUAACAAUGAAAAGUAUGGUACAGCUUCUGGGUCUAUCUGUUGAUGAGUCCGAAGCCUUUCUCUCAAAUCUAGUAGUUAACAAGACCAUCUUUGCUAAAGUAGACAGAUCAGCAGGAAUUAACAACUUCCAGAGACCCAAGGAUCCAAAUAAUUUAUUAAAUGACUGGUCUCAGAAACUGAACUCAUUAAUGUCUCUGAUUAACAAAACUACACAUCUCAUACCAAAGAGAAGAUGAUACAUAAUCUACUAUAA
Nomascus leucogenys (northern white-cheeked gibbon) is the source of this 1369-nucleotide RNA transcript. It is a transcript of the gene named 26S proteasome non-ATPase regulatory subunit 12 pseudogene, with no coding region annotated. Lineage: Eukaryota; Metazoa; Chordata; Mammalia; Primates; Hylobatidae. The record is from RefSeq and is a predicted model, not a curated record. The transcript has a single exon.